RNAcentral lists this non-coding RNA (208 nucleotides) under Anopheles gambiae (African malaria mosquito). RNAcentral describes it as "5' ureB small RNA". It matches the Rfam family "5' ureB small RNA", at positions 88 to 292 of the family's 292-position model. The record is from Rfam by way of RNAcentral. Lineage: Eukaryota; Metazoa; Arthropoda; Insecta; Diptera; Culicidae.
UAGAAGCUCCGAUAAUUAAAUUUGGCGUUACACCGUCCAUUGUAUCCGGAUUUCCGGCUUUACCAAUACCUACGAUUUUACCAUCUUUAAUACCGAUAUCUGCUUUUACAAUCCCCCAGUGAUCGAUAAUAGUUGCUCCGGUAAUACAAAGAUCCAAUACACCUUCAUCUCUUUUAUUGGUAACAUUUUGCCCCAUACCGUCACGAAC